RNAcentral lists this ribosomal RNA (301 nucleotides) under uncultured bacterium. Its description in RNAcentral is "partial 16S ribosomal RNA". It matches the Rfam family "Bacterial small subunit ribosomal RNA", at positions 509 to 807 of the family's 1533-position model. The record is from RNAcentral.
CAGUAGCCGCGGUAAAACGUAGGUGGCAAGCGUUGUCCGGGAUUAUUGGGCGUAAAGGGCUCGCAGGCGGUUUCUUAAGUCUGAUGUGAAAGCCCCCGGCUCAACCGGGGAGGGUCAUUGGAAACUGGGAAACUUGAGUGCAGAAGAGGAGAGUGGAAUUCCACGUGUAGCGGUGAAAUGCGUAGAGAUGUGGAGGAACACCAGUGGCGAAGGCGACUCUCUGGUCUGUAACUGACGCUGAGGAGCGAAAGCGUGGGGAGCGAACAGGAUUAGAUACCCCCGUAGUCCCUGUCUCUUAUAC